This 468-nucleotide ribosomal RNA is filed under the name uncultured bacterium. Its description in RNAcentral is "partial 16S ribosomal RNA". It matches the Rfam family "Bacterial small subunit ribosomal RNA", at positions 28 to 507 of the family's 1533-position model. The record is from RNAcentral.
GACGAACGCUGGCGGCGUGCUUAACACAUGCAAGUCGAACGGAAAGGCCCUGCUUUUGUGGGGUGCUCGAGUGGCGAACGGGUGAGUAACAUGUGAGUAACCUGCCCUUGACUUUGGGAUAACUUCAGGAAACUGGGGCUAAUACCGGAUAGGAGCUCCUGCUGCAUGGUGGGGGUUGGAAAGUUUCGGCGGUUGGGGAUGGACUCGCGGCUUAUCAGCUUGUUGGUGGGGUAGUGGCUUACCAAGGCUUUGACGGGUAGCCGGCCUGAGAGGGUGACCGGCCACAUUGGGACUGAGAUACGGCCCAGACUCCUACGGGAGGCAGCAGUGGGGAAUAUUGCACAAUGGGCGGAAGCCUGAUGCAGCAGCGCCGCGUGCGGGAUGACGGCCUUCGGGUUGUAAACCGCUUUCGCCUGUGACGAAGCGUGAGUGACGGUAAUGGGUAAAGAAGCACCGGCUAACUACGUG